CACGCCGUAAACGAUGGAUACUAGGUGUAGGAGGUAUCGACCCCUUCUGUGCCGCAGUUAACACAAUAAGUAUCCCACCUGGGGAGUACGGCCGCAAGGUUGAAACUCAAAGGAAUUGAC
Molecule: ribosomal RNA, 120 nt
Filed under: uncultured bacterium
Lineage: Bacteria
Description: partial 16S ribosomal RNA
Rfam family: Bacterial small subunit ribosomal RNA
Source: RNAcentral